AGUCUAUAACUCCCAACCCAUGUGAACAUACCUUACGUUGCCUCGGCAGGUCGCGCCUACCUCGUAGCGCCCUACCCUGUAGGGCCUACCCGGGAGACGCGGGUAAGCCUGCCGGCGGCCCACGAAACUCUGUUUAGCAUUGAAUUCUGAACAAAUAACUAAAUAAGUUAAAACUUUCAACAACGGAUCUCUUGGUUCUGGCAUCGAUGAAGAACGCAGCGAAAUGCGAUAAGUAAUGUGAAUUGCAGAAUUCAGUGAAUCAUCGAAUCUUUGAACGCACAUUGCGCCCAUUAGUAUUCUAGUGGGCAUGCCUGUUCGAGCGUCAUUUCAACCCUUAAGCCUCUGUUGCUUAGAGUUGGGAGCCUACGGCAAUCGUAGCUCCCCAAAGUUAGUGGCGGAGUCGGUUCACACUCUAGACGUAGUAAUUUUAUCUCGCCUAUCAGUUGGACCGGUCCCCUGCCGUAAAACACCCCAAUUUCUAAAGGUUGACCUCGGAUCAGGUAGGAAUACCCGCUGAACUUAAGCAUAUCAAUAGCCGGGAGGAAAAG
Molecule: ribosomal RNA, 548 nt
Filed under: Xylaria sp. L13-3-1
Lineage: Eukaryota; Fungi; Ascomycota; Sordariomycetes; Xylariales; Xylariaceae
Description: eukaryotic LSU rRNA
Rfam family: 5.8S ribosomal RNA (bases 172-325)
Source: RNAcentral